Molecule: ribosomal RNA, 206 nt
Filed under: uncultured Romboutsia sp.
Lineage: Bacteria; Bacillati; Bacillota; Clostridia; Peptostreptococcales; Peptostreptococcaceae
Description: partial 16S ribosomal RNA
Rfam family: Bacterial small subunit ribosomal RNA
Source: RNAcentral
UGCGUAGGUGGUUUCUUAAGUCAGAGGUGAAAGGCUACAGCUCAACCGUAGUAAGCCUUUGAAACUGGGGAACUUGAGUGCAGGAGAGGAGAGUGGAAUUCCUAGUGUAGCGGUGAAAUGCGUAGAUAUUAGGAGGAACACCAGUUGCGAAGGCGGCUCUCUGGACUGUAACUGACACUGAGGCACGAAAGCGUGGGGAGCAAACA